This 2101-nucleotide non-coding RNA is filed under the name Oryza sativa Indica Group (long-grained rice). RNAcentral's name for it is "Bacterial large subunit ribosomal RNA". It matches the Rfam family "Bacterial large subunit ribosomal RNA", at positions 660 to 2925 of the family's 2925-position model. The record is from Rfam by way of RNAcentral. Lineage: Eukaryota; Viridiplantae; Streptophyta; Magnoliopsida; Poales; Poaceae.
AAGUAGGCGUAGAUAAAUCAAGUUUUAAAAUGCAUAAAAGUUAUAAAAAUAAGACCCGAAACCGAGUGAUCUAACCAUGAACAGAUUGAAAAAUAGGUAAAACUAUUUGGAGGAUCGAACUCACAUAUGUGGCAAAAUAUGGAGAUGAUUUGUGGUUAGGAGUGAAAGGCUAAUCAAACUCGGAGAUAGCUGGUUUUCCGCGAAAUCUAUUGAAGUAGAGCAUUUAAAAUCUUUUUUUGGGGUAGAGCACUCAUUGAGCUAGGGGGCGUAAAAACUUACUGAACUCUUAGAAACUCCGAAUACGAAAAAAAGUAAUUUAAAUAGACAGACAUUAGGCGCUAAGGUCUUUUGUCAAGAGGGAAACAGCCCAGAUUGAUCGCUAAGGUCUCUAAAUAAUAUUCUAAGUGAAAAAGGAAGUGAGAAAAUGAUUACAACCAGUAGGUAGGCUUGGAAGCAGCCAUCCUUUAAAGAAAGCGUAAUAGCUCAUUGGUCUAGUUUUCUUGCGCCUAAAAUGUAUCGAGACUUAAGAAAUUUACCGAAGCGGCAAGUUUUAUUUUUAAAUAAAACGGUAGCGGAACAUUCUGUAUGUUGAAAAAGAUGUGUUGUAAAAUAUGUUGAAGAUAUCAGAAAAGAAAAUGCUGGCAUUAGUAACAAAAAAUAAUGAUUAAAAUCAUUAUCACCGUAAAUCCAAGGGUUUCUAUGUUAAGAUGUAUUUCAUAGAGUGAAACGGCCCCUAAGAAAGAUUUGACGAAAGCAAAUUUUGAUGGGAUAAUUUUUAAAUUAAAUUUUUUAAAAAAAGUGACAAAAAGUUUAAAUUUAAACUUUUUCAGGAAAGAGCUUUUUUAAUUAAUAAACCGUACCCUAAACCGACACAGGUGGAUAGGUCGAGUAGACUAAGGUGAAUGAGAGAACUAUAUUGAAGGAACUCGGCAAAAUGACUCUGUAACUUCGGGAUAAAGAGGACCUUUCUAUUAUGUUUAUCUAUAAUCAAACGGUGGCACAGAAUAGGGGGUUGCGACUGUUUAAUAAAAACUUAGGACUCUGCUAAAUGGUAACAUGAUGUAUAGGGUCUGACACCUGCCCGGUGCUGGAAGAUUAAUAGGAGAUGUUUACGCAUUAAAUGGAAGUCCCAGUAAACGGCGGCCGUAACUCUGACGGUCCUAAGGUAGCGAAAUUCCUUGUCGGGUAAGUUCCGACCUGCAUGAAUGGUGUAACGACAUCCCCGCUGUCUCCAAUAUAGACUCAGUGAAUUUGAAUUAUCCGUGAAGAUGCGGAUUUUCUGUAGUUAGACGGAAAGACCCCGUGAACCUUUACUACAUCUUUAUAUUGUUAUUUUAUCUAAUAUGUGUAGCAUAAGUGGUAAUCUUUGAUACCUUCACGCUAGUGAAUUGUUUAGAUAACAUUGAAAUACCACUCUUAUUAAAAUAAAUAACUAAUAUUUAAAAAUAGACAGUGUAUGGUUGGUAGUUUGACUGGGGCGGUCACCUCCUAAAGAGUAACGGAGGUGUACAAAGGUAAGCUCAAAUUGGAUUUUAAUAUCAAUUGUAGAGCGCAAUGGUAAAAGCUUGCUUGACUGUAAGAUAGACAUAUCAAACAGGGACGAAAGUCGGUCAUAGUGAUCCGAUAAUUCUUUGUGGAAAGAUUAUCGCUCAACGGAUAAAAGGUACUCCGGGGAUAACAGGCUGAUGACUCCUAAGAGCUCCUAUCGACGGAGUCGUUUGGCACCUCGAUGUCGACUCAUCACAUCCUGGAGCUGAAGAAGGUUCCAAGGGUUCGGCUGUUCGCCGAUUAAAGUGGUACGUGAGUUGGGUUUAGAACGUCGUGAGACAGUUUGGUUCCUAUCUUCUAUAGAUAACCUGAAAAAUGAAAGAAUCUAACUCUAGUACGAGAGGACCGAGAAGGGUAAAUCUCUGGUGUAUCGGUUGUUUUAAAGCAUCGCCGAGUAGCUAAAUUUAUUUUGGAUAAUUACUGAAAGCAUCUAAGUAAGAAGCCAUUCUUAAAAUUUUUUCAAAUGAAAACUGUAAAAGACUAUUACAUUGAUAGGUUUUAAGUGCAGUAUUGUAAAAUAUUUAGCUUAAGAAUACUAAAGUUUCAGAUUUUU